UGUUCCCCUCCCUGUGUCCCAUGUGUUCUCGCUGUUCAACUCCCACUUAGGAGCGAGAACAUGCGGUGUUUGGUUUUCGCUUCCUGUGUCAGUUUGCUGAGAAUGAGGCCUUCCAGCUUCAUCCACGUUCCCGCAGAGGUCAUGAACUCAUCCUUUUUUAUGGCUGCGUAGUAAUUCCAUGCUGUAUACGUGCCACACUUUCUUUAUCCAGCCUAUCAUUCAUGGGCAUUCGAGUUGGUUCCAAGUCUUUGCUAUUGUAAAUAGUGCUGCAGUAAACAUACGUGUCCACGUGUCUUCCUAGUAGGAACUUCUUCCUCUUCAGCCCGCUGAGUAGCUGGCACUUUAAGGCAGGUGCCAACGCACCGGCAGCAAGCUUCCUUUUUUGCCCGGGAAAAACUGAGGUGCAGGUAGUAUAAGCCAUUGAUCACGGAACGCACAGGAGCAGAGCUCGAGUCCAAGCAUCGUGGCUCCACCCGUCAUGCUGGAUGCAUCUUUAGGCUCCGCUCUAGAAAUCUUGUCUGUCCUCGGAAGAACUCCCCCUGCUUCUUUCUCUAAAGGCUGUCUUCAGGCCGGGCACAGUGGGAGGAUCGCUUGAGCCCAGAAGGCCGCAGUGAGGUGAGAUCGCGCCAUUGCACUGCAGCCCCCGGCGGCAGAGCCGGAGCCCCGUCUCGAAACAAACAAACAAAAACCAACCAACCAACCAACCAACCAACAAACAAACACAGACAAAGAAAGAAAGAGCCCAGGCAACCUAGUGAAAACCUGUUCGGGCUGGGGCGUACCUGUACCCCAGCUGUUCCGGAGGCUGAGGCCAGGAGGAUGGGUGGACGCUGGGAGGUGGAUGCUGCAGUGAGCAGUGAUUGCACCACUGCACUCCAGCCUGGGUGACAGAGCCAGACCCCGUCCCAAAUAAAUAAACAUAAAAAUAAAGGAACCAGUUUGUAGAAAGCGGGAGAGGGUCCCAUUGAACUUCAAGCCUUCGAGCAACAGCUGUGGCUGGACAGGUUGGACAGCAGGCUGGAGCAGUCGCCAUCUUGGCAGGGAUCAUUGACCCUGAUCUAUCGUCGGGAGGAGGAAGAGCUGAUCUUACGCAGGAG
Molecule: long non-coding RNA, 1097 nt
Filed under: Homo sapiens (human)
Lineage: Eukaryota; Metazoa; Chordata; Mammalia; Primates; Hominidae
Description: HSALNT0389881
Source: RNAcentral